Molecule: ribosomal RNA, 312 nt
Filed under: Awaous gutum (tank goby)
Lineage: Eukaryota; Metazoa; Chordata; Actinopteri; Gobiiformes; Gobiidae
Description: partial 12S ribosomal RNA
Rfam family: Bacterial small subunit ribosomal RNA
Source: RNAcentral
UGUGAGGGUUCAACAGUAAGCGAAAUUGGUAAAACCCAAAACGUCAGGUCGAGGUGUAGCGCACGAGAGGGGAAGAAAUGGGCUACAUUUGCUGGACCAGCAAAAACGGAUGAUGGACUGAAACUACAUCUAAAGGAGGAUUUAGCAGUAAGGGAAGAAUAGAGUGCUUCCCUGAAAACGGCCCUGAAGCGCGCACAAACCGCCCGUCACCCUCCCCGACAUAAACCAAAGUCAUAAAUAAUAUGAGCAUAUAACAAAGAGGAGGCAAGUCGUAACAUGGUAAGUGUACCGGAAGGUGUACUUGGAUCAACC